CCUACGGGAGGCAGCAGUGGGGAAUCUUGCACAAUGGAGGAAACUCUGAUGCAGCGAUGCCGCGUGAGUGAAGAAGGCCUUUGGGUUGUAAAGCUCUUUUGUAGGGGAAGAUAAUGACUGUACCCUAAGAAUAAGGUCCGGCUAACUUCGUGCCAGCAGCCGCGGUAAUACGAAGGGACCUAGCGUAGUUCGGAAUUACUGGGCGUAAAGCGCGCGUAGGCCGUUGAGUUAGUUAAUUGUGAAAUCCCAAAGCUUAACUUUGGAACUGCAAUUAAAACUGCUCGACUAGAGUUUGAUAGAGGAAAGCGGAAUACAUAGUGUAGAGGUGAAAUUCGUAGAUAUUAUGUAGAACACCAGUUGCGAAGGCGGCUUUCUGGAUCAACACUGACGCUGAGGCGCGAAAGUAUGGGUAGCAAAGAGGAUUAGAUACCCUCGUAGUCCAUACCAUAAACGAUGAUUGCUAGAUGUUGGAAAUUUAUUUUCAGUAUCGCAGCUAACGCAUUAAGCAAUCCGCCUGGGGAGUACGACCGCAAGGUUAAAACUCAAAGGAAUUGACGGCNGAGAGUGCGACGACGACGACGAGGAGAGG
Molecule: ribosomal RNA, 589 nt
Filed under: uncultured bacterium
Lineage: Bacteria
Description: bacterial SSU rRNA
Rfam family: Bacterial small subunit ribosomal RNA
Source: RNAcentral